Molecule: long non-coding RNA, 7510 nt
Organism: Felis catus (domestic cat)
Lineage: Eukaryota; Metazoa; Chordata; Mammalia; Carnivora; Felidae
Exons: 2
Source: RefSeq, a predicted model, not a curated record
GGAGAGGAGGAGCCAGAAAGGAAUGAAGAGGAGGGUAGAGGAAGGGAAGGAAGGGAAGGGAAAGAGAGAAGGGAAGAAGUAGGGGAGGGGAGGAGACAGGGGUAAACUCAGAGGAAAACACAACCAAAAUGUCGAGGGUUACUAUUCUCUGGCUAACUUAUUUUGCCUCCUUUUCAAUUGCCUGUCUUCCAAAAUGUCACCAAUUUUUUUUUAAAUCACUUUUAUAAUAAAUCCACUUUUUAUCAAAAUUCUAUUUAAGUCGUUCUGAAAUGUUUUCUCAUAACAUUCCAAGUCCUAUUUUAGGUGAGUCGAGAAGACACUGGUGCUAGGUGAUGUCUAUAUGGUGCCCACAUGUUCCAGAGCCAAUACUGGAACACAUGAUCCACAAGUUCCCAAAUGCUCAGAAAAGAUAUGGAACGGAGUAGCUGGAUUCUGGGCAAGACCCCCACAUCUGAGGAACAGGCAUGCCCCUCGAGAAAGAAAGUAGUACCCCUGGGGGCUGUGGGAUCCCUUGGGACGAUGGGCCAGUCUCACCCUGAGGUCGGCUGCUCUGAAAGGCCCAUGGCAAGGAUGGAGAGAGGGAGACGUUAAGGAAGAAGACACCCUACCCGGGUCCGAUCUUCCUUCCAACCUACUUUGCGUCCCCAAGGCUGAACUCAUUCUGCUUUUAGGAAAUCACUCUCAUCCCAGAGGAGGAGCUGGAUUUUCCAAGUAAAGACAGACCCUCCAGUCCCCACCCCACCCUCCCUUCUCCCCUCUGCCCAGGUGCUACACCUGUGGACCCCACUGUCCCAAGCACGAGCACCUGUGGCCACGAACGCCCUGCCCAGGGGGAAAGAAAGCGGCCUCAGGAGAGCCCUAGGGGCCGGCACCCUCUCUGGGCCUCUGGCUGCAGCGGGACCUCCAGGCAGCAGGCCCUGGUUGGAACGUGGCCUCCCGGGCUGGGACCGAGAGCCAGCACCGGGUAGCGACGCAGCACUGUGCACAGCACUCGGGGCUUUGGACCUGGGCACGUCCACUACCAUACUUCGGGUUCCUAGCUUGUGGAGCAGAAAGGAUACCAGAAGCUACUUGAGUGGUGCCGAACACAUGAACACAUUAGUGCUGAUGACACGCCCACUUUGCAGCGCCCCGAUGAGGCGGGUGCCACUGCGCCCCUUUUACAGAUGAGCAGAGGGGCUCGUGGGGAGGUCAGAGCAGUGCCCCCGAGGUCCCGUGGCUGGUAAAUAUUAGAACCAGGACUCGAGUCUGGCUCCAGAGCCUGAGCUCGCAAGACGGCGUCUAGAAGCUGUUUAAAGCACGACCAAUAGCAGCUGAUGCUCUGGUGUUGCAGAUGUUUUAGUAAAGCAGAGGGUGGCCAAGGUGGGGCUCUGUGUGCCAACCGCUUCCUUCUACUCUACCAGCCUUCCAAGACAGAAGCAUGUCUGGACCGUUCACCUCCGUGGCCCAGCAGACCCCCCAUCGUGCCUUGUGGCUCCCUGAACACCCGUUGCACAGGUAAUACAAUGACACAUUUAUCAGGCACCCACCACAUGCACCUUAUCUCAUUCAAAUCUCUCUCUCCCUCCCUCCCCCACCCCUCACACACACACACACACACACACACACACACACACACACACACAUACACGGUGUGGGCAGCUGAGAACUGCCUCAGCCAAAGGGUCCAAGCUAGGUGCUGGGCAUCCCCAGGCUGGCCUGCCUGACCUUACAGCCUCUCCACAAGCGAGGGGUGAACGUGGAGGGAUCCUCGAGGCAGAGCAAUGUGCCCCUGGGGUAGCUUUCAAAUGAAAAUGAGAUGAUCCCAUUUCUAUAGCAUACAACUCCGUUGUUCUUCACUUUCUAUUCCAUAACGUGCCCAGCAAUUAUUUCCACGGAUAGUGAUUCCAAGUAAAAGGAGAGAAAAGUACACAGCUGCCCUCCAAGACCUCGAGGGACUUGGGAGGGAGAGUGAGGGCAUCAGAAAACAAGGGCUGAUGUCAAGGCCAGCUGAAUCAAUAAUGGUCUCACAUCUUAUAGUGAGAGAGUCAUUAUAAAGAAAAACAACGCUAUCUCAAAACAGUGGCAAUGUCAAAGCACAACCCUACUACAUCUUUGAUUUCCAAAAAAAAAAAAAAAAAAAAAAAAAGGAGACUGGGAAGAUCCCUUGUGAACCCGACUCCAAUCUAGCAAACGGUCCAUCCUAACGGCACAGGCACCCAGAGCGGGCUCGUCAUCACGGGUGGGCGUCCGCUGGUCUCCCCGCCAUUGGUUCUCACGUUGCACAACAACGCUCACAACAAGGAUGGAGACCACACACACAGUUUUCCCCGAUGGGCAGCCGGUGUCAGUCCCCCAGACUGGGCCCACCCGCUGCCGACGUCUGCUGCGUCCAGGUCAGGAUUUCAGCAGAGGGUCCCGGCCCCCAGCCUGUUCCCCUUCUCUUGCAUCCCCGCCUGGUCCGCAUCGUGAGGGGCCCUGUGCACACCUGUGGACACUGCAGCCUGCACACCCCCAUCCCUAGCUGCUCAGCCAAGGUGUAGGCACACCAGGGGCCCAGGCAGGACGCCCGGAAGCCAGGGACAUUCAGGCAGAGAAUUCAACCGUGAGAUCCGAAAAGGGAAGGUCAUGGGCCCGUGAAGAGGCCACAGACAGAAGGGGGCCUUCCAGAGUGUGGGGUGCCUAUUGGGAAGUGUGCCUUUCAGUGUUCUUGACCCAGAGCUCAGACGUCUUAGGCCAUCCCGCGAGUAAGCUGCAAUGGCCUCUGAAGAGAAGCUCCCUGCCUCCUUCCCUCAGGGGAAAGUGCUAGAGAGCCCAGGAGACUCACAGCCCAAGAUCUGUCCCCUUUAACCAGCAGACCCCGCAGUGACAAGACCUUCCUGAUCCUGGUCCUCUAGAAGACCAAGACCAUCCCCAGGCUCCCCACGUGGUUGGCCGCACUCCCAGGCUGUUAAGGCACUAGGCCAACAGGACACUUGUUUUCCAACGGGGAUCCCGGGAGGAGGAGGUGUGGCUCUGGAUGGGAACAGCCCAGGGUCCGUGGGAAGGACAGCGGAACCCCAAGUGGGUUCCAGGAAGGACAGCUGCAGAAAGGACUCUCCAAAGAACUGAACAAGAGAGUGGAUGCAAACGCACCUGGCCCACAGGAGGGACUCGAACGCCUCUGGUGACGUGGCUGGCAGCAGCGACAUCGUCUUGAGUGACUCUGUGCCAGGCACCUGCAGCGUGCGCUUUGCGAGAUCAUUCCUUUGAUCACAACAAUCAGAGGAGCUUUGCUCUCAUAUGGCCGUUGAGAGGAGUGAGGCCAGGAUCCCCCAGCUGGUCAGCAGCCAGGCCAGGAAUCGCACUCGGGUCCGUCCGUCUGCCUCCCAAUCCUCCUUCCCAGUCCCCACCCCCCCGCCACACCAUGCUCAACGCCUCAGCUGGUCUUCCUGCAGACUCUGAGGAGAACCCCCCACACGCCUACCUGCCCCCAGCUCCCAGGACAGGCUGGAGGUUAAACAACGCGGCCAAGACUCCAGGCCCCCUGCUUUGCCAACACCCUAGAGCUCUCUGUGCUCCUGUCCUGUGUGCAAAGCUCCCAGAAAGCCCAUCCCCAGGAGGACGGAGCUUGCAGAUAAGCCAACCAACCACACCCAGAAAAGACCCAACAGUGUCUCACCUCAGCACGUUUUUUUUAAGUUUAUUUAUUUUGAGAGAUACGGAGACCAUGCGAGUGGGGGAGGGCAGAGAGAGAGGAGAGAGAGAGUCCCAAGCAGGCUCCACACUGUCAGUGCAGAGCCAGACGCGGGGCUCGAACCCGUGAACCUGUGAGAUCAUGACCUGAGCCAAAACCAAGAGCCUGAUGUUUAACCGACCGAGCCACCCGGGCGCCCUUCACCUCACCAGGCGCACAUUUUGAGUAUACUUUACAAGGAGACCCACAGCCAGCUACUUGGUGGACCAAAGACUCGGGUAACAAUAUAGGGUAUGGCUCACAACCACCUGAGUCUGUCUGGUUCCCCAAAAUCAUGCAAAAUAGACCCUGUUUUCACUACUGUGUGUGUCUGCCCUUGAGUCCACAUCAAGUGCUCUUGAAUUCACUCAUAAAAUCACAAGAACGUUUCAAGAUGCCAGCACCACCAGGCCCAAGGUCAGCCCUGGCCCCCACCUGUUUCAGCAGGAGCCAUUUGGGGGCUUCCUGGGGGAGACCCUUUGUCUGCACUGGGUGAAGGGGGGGCUGCAGCAGACACCUCCCCAGGCCCCAGAGCUCACUCACCCCUGGCCCUGGUGGUUUCACAGGAUGAAACCACCUAAUUGCCUAAGACAAGACCUAACCCCGAGCCCUCAGAAGACACAGGGAACUGCUAGUGGGGAGAAAUGUAUGGAACACUGGGUCCUGCAAAUUCACGGUUCCGGGGCCCUGGGAAGAGGUGUGCAGGGGGGAAGUGGCUGCAGGUGGCUCUAUCAGGGAGUACUGCCCGGUGCCGAGUCCCCUCCCCUGCCCUGCCCUCCCCUUUUCUCCAACUCCUUUCCCUCCCCUUCCCUCCUGCCCUCCCCUUCCCUCUUCAGGAAAUGACACCACCAAUGUCCACUCUGCUGACAUGGUUGCCACAGUCUCACCGCAGGUCUGGGGCAUGGGCACACCCCAUGAUCCUCUCCCCCUGAUCGCACUUAAAUGGUAUCCAAACACAGGAAUCCCACUGAACAGGGCAGGGAGGGGCGACAAGACUUUCAGGGACAAUGUGCCAAUUCCUUACAACACGUCAUUUUGCAACAACGCCCCAAACUUUCCCGCACAGCCCCCCCCCGCCCCGGCCACAACGUGAGAACAGCCAUAUAAUGACUACGUUCAGGACAGCACACAUGGGCGGUAGAGGGAAGGGGUUGAUAAUGAUGAGUCUCCUUUCCCUUCAUGCUUUCUGUAGGUACCGACGGCACACUGGGAAGGGCGGGUUUGCUUUGUGUAGAAGGGGGCGCACUGCGGGGGUUGAUCCCCAACUGAAUCCCCCAAAAUAGAAGGUUAGGUGAGGUGGCGGCCAACCCUGGGGGCCUCCUGCCGACUCUGGAACACGCCUCCUCUCCGCACCCCCAGCCCGGCCCCUCCCUGGGUGCCCACAGGACCCUACCCCACAGGAGACCCUCCGCCACGGCCACCUUCCCUGCAGCCCUGCUGGGAGAAAGAACCGCCCCGGACGACUGCAGCUGCAAGAGACGUGAAGAGCAGGGCAGACCGCCCCCCCACCCAGCUUCUCCAGAACGUCUAAGGACACCACGUGAGGACAGAAGCAAAUAGCCAGCUUUCCUUCCCGGCGCUCGCUCGGGCGGGCGGACCCAGCCUGGACUUGGCCCGUUCCUGCCCCUCCAAGCCAGAGCCCGCAGCGCUGCAGCUCUGGAAUUUGGAAGGUCAUUCCUGGCGGCCACGCCUGCCAGGCCCGGUGGAAGGCACCUGGAAGGCGGCACCGGGGUUUCUGUGUAAGGCGGAAGAAUCCGGCUUCCCCGCACAGGGUUCCAGUCCCAAGGUUCAGAGGGCACACAGCUGCUAGGCGCCGGUCCCACUGAGUCACCGCUCUGGCCCCCGAGCACCCUGUGGGGGGAGAGGUAAAGCAGGCCCGCCCCAGGGACAAACAGGGCGGAGAAGAGCAGGAGGAAAGUCAACAAAGGACGUGCAAAAGAGGGAACAGAGGCACAGCUGGUUGUACAGGCAGGCUCUGCACCACGCCCUUGCCCCAGCAGUCUCCCCAGACACCCCCCUCUCUCCUGCAGAGGCCAUCGCACCGUCCCGACAGCCAGGGCCUGGGGAACCCGUGGACCCCGCAGCACUGACGGCCCUUCUCCGGAAACUGAAUAACCUGAGAACAGGCGAGUCAGAAACGGCUACGGAGUUUUCACCCACAGCGGUGGUACAGGCCAUAAGCAGGCAAAGUGCACGAACCCUGCAGAAUGCCAGAAAAGAGGGGAUAGAAAACGCAAAACCCCUCUCCAGAGAGAACAGAAUCCCAGAGCCCCAAAGGCACUGCUCAAGCAGCUAAUCUCAACCUCGGGAAAAGAGCAAGACGGAAGGUCUCCAUCCUCCGGAGAGGUCAGCCCAAGGCCCUGUUUCCGGAAGCCAGCACAUGUCUGGGCACACAGCUCUGAAACGAGCCAGCCCCCCAAAACCCCUGAUCCACACCUUCAGGAGGGGCCUUCCUGCUGUCACCUGCUGGGUCCCGGUGGGUGUCCGGUCCAGCCUGGCCUAGAACAACUUCAAACGUGGUCCCCGACACUGUGCCUUUUUCAGGCAACCAAAUCCCCAUCCCUCUGAAUCACCACGGUGAUUUUCUAAAAUUACACUUCCAAGCCCCAACAGUGUAGAACAGGGCAGAGAAACACACGAAGGAUGUUACUAACCAAAGGCUGCCUCGUGCUGUCUUUUCCUCCCAGAAAGGGAGAAGUUAUUUCACAUGUGCACACGCGUGUGCACACACAUGUACGCAUACACGCACAUACAUAUAGGUUUUUCCCUGAUACACAAAAUUCUUUGUGAACUAGCUAUGUCUAAUUCUGCUGGACCCUUUGUUUGAAAAAGGAGAGAAAAGGAGCCACAAACACCAGUAUAUUUCUGCUAGGGCUGGCUGGCUCUAAACAUUUCAACUUUGAACUUUCACAUAGCUGUCACCAAAGGCCAGAACUUGGCCAAGCCCAAAAGACCACUGAAGGGUCAGACGUCUAGAAUGUCGUAGAUCCAGGAGAGCAGAAUAUCAGAAAUUAGAAGCUGAAUAUCCUCUAGGCUUUUUUUUUUUUUAGGUUCCUGUUAACUUCUGAUCUCUUUACUUUUGUGAACAGUUGCCUUAAAGUUACUUUUUUUAAGUCAAAAUGUUUCUAUCCCUUGCCCCGUAGCAAGGCAAAAACCCUCUUGAGGAAGACAGGGUGACAUUUUAAAGGGGCAUCCAGAGGGUGGUAGAGGCGACUCUCCUGCAGUGAUAUUCUGAGCUGAUGUGCGACACACACAACUGUGCCAGCGUUUCAUAGUGUUUGUUUUGGUUUCAACAUCUCAGACAAGACAGCUUCCAGAUCCUUCACAUCCCAGGCUGCAGCUGACCAACGUUCCACAGGAUGCUAACAUGCUGGAUAUAGAUUUUACCUAAAAGAAAAAGAAGAACCAGUCAAUGCCCUCGGCAGAACCCUGCAUCCAUUCUGACCCUCACAGUCUCCAUCCCAUAGGCCACACUCACCCAACCACAGGACCUUUGAACAUGCUAUCUGGAAGGUAACUCCUUCCGUCCCUUCAGCUCCUCGCUCAGGAUCCUAGCUCCCCAUGCAGACCCCCUAGUACAGAGCUGCUUUUCUCCUUGUACUUCUCCUUCCUAGCAGUGCUACUGGUGUUUACUCCAGGGCUCCACAAAAUGUUUCUGUCGAAAUCCAGACAGUAAACAUUUUCAACUUUGUGGGCCCUACAUUCUCUGUGGCAACUACUCAACUCCACCCCUGUGGAACAAAAGCCACUGUGGAUAAUAGGAACAUGCUUGAGCAUGGCUGUGUUCCAAUAAAACUUUAUUUGUGGACACUGAGA